UCCUCCUCCUCCUCCUCCUUCUCUCUCUUCAGGAGUCAGACAAAGUUAAUGCUGCUGACUUUAAGAUCAAAGCAUACUUAGAUACAACUGAACAGCACUAGGGGUGAUGUUGCUUCUGUGGCCACUGUGAUGGACUCUCAUCUGGCUCCUCGCUCCUCCCCACUAUGUAUCCACUGGUAAUGAGGCUUGACCAGUGAAACCUCAGAUGCCUCCCAUAUGCCCCUUACCUCUUGCCACCCUGACCCUUCCUCACGGGCAAUUAAUUACCAGCUAUGACUAGUUCAGUGCAGUCUUUUUCAGCAGUACUUUUGGGCCACAGGAAAUAUAGCUCACCGGGCCCUACCCAUCAGCCACAAAGUGCUGUUAUUGUCACUGCUUGCAAAGUACCAGUUAGUCAUCUUCAACAGCCCCACACAAGUCUCUGCCCCACACGUGUAGUACAAGUGAUUACAUCACCUGGCCUAAACCACCCAGACAGCUCCCACCCCUUAUUACAGCCUAAUUCUUUGGCAACUGAGGCAGAGCAAUCCUGUAUUAUUAUGGCUAGCAAUGUUAGCAAAGAGGCAUUAACCAUGGUUUCUCAGAAUACGUUUGGAGAAAGCUCCAAACUUGCACAUACACCAUAGGGCACAUUACAGGACCAGGAAACACAGACUUAGGAGAAGGGGUGGGUAGUAAGGGCUCAUCAUGAAUUUGCCAUCUUCUCUGGAAACCUGUUGCCUUGGGAUUCAUAUCAUGCUCAAAGCAGCAUUUGAGAAACUUCUGUGUUCUAUAUAAGGGGAUACAAGGGAUUGUCCUAAAAUAUAGGCGAUGGUAGGAUGCUGUUCUAGUUAGCUUGGCUGUUGACUUGACACGAAUGUAGUGUCACCUGGGAUAAGAGAACUUCAGUUGAAAACUGCCCAGAUCACACUGGCUAGUGGCCUUAUCUUCAGAAUUCUGAUUGAUGUAGGAGGGCCCAGACCACCAUGGGCGGCACCACUCUUAGGCACAAAAACUUAAACCGUAUAAGAAAAGCUGCUGAACAAGCCAGAGGAAGCAAGCAAGUAAUCAGAGUUCCUCUGUGGUCUCUGCUCCAGUUUCCAUUCUAGAACUCUUCCAUGGCAUCUCUCAGGGACAGACGGACUAUAAGCUGCGAGCUGAAAUAAGUCCUUUCCUCCCCAAGUUGUUUUUGGUCAUGGUACUUAUCACAACAGAGAGCCAACUGGAAGGGUGCAUGCAUAGUGACAUACCUCUAAAAACCUAUUGCAGGGACACCUAGAGUACCAGAUGACAACAGAAAAGGGAACUUAUUGGGGCUGGGUCUUGGAGCAAGUAGGUUCAGGACUCUGGCCCACAGCCUUGCUCCCAAGCGCUUCUCACCUUCUCAGAUACCUCUGCAGCUUACAGUGUUUUUAUCAAUCGGUGGAGAUUCUCAGCAACUCUUCACUAUGGGCACUUUCUGCAGUUUCCAGCCUAUCUUCUGGCCUUGCUUCUGGAAUGUUCUCUCACUGAGUUGUAUUUUUCCCUCCGAUUGCUACUAAUAGAAGGCCGUACUUAGUCACCAACAAAGGAGUCACUGUCUGUGCCAGGUAGAGGCAGAAAACAGGAAAACUCAGAUGUCCCCGAGCUGCGAGGACUUAGCCCUGCACCAGGAGAAGUGCGUUCUCUUUCAGACCUCCUUCAUUUAGAGAAAGUUGCAGUUUGACACUGUGUCCCUCCUAGGCCCAGCACCUGAUAACACCUAUUCUUUUAUUUAUUUCUCAUGUGUCUAUGUCUGGGGUGCAUGCGGGUGCGUGCACCUUCACGUGUUUGUGGUGCAUGUGACAUCAGCGGUCCUGCCUGGUGGCUCUCAACCUUACUCAUUUAGGCAGGCUCUCUCAAUGUGUGCCUCACAGAGCUUGCCAACGUGGGUUGGGCUAGCCAGUCAGCUUCUUCUAGGAUGCCCUGCCUCUAGCUUCUGAGAAGAACUACAGAUGGGUGCCAUGCUCCCUGGCAUGUCCCUGCGUUCUGUUUGAUUAAAGCUCCUGCCUCUAUACUUCAUAACAAGAAUCUUACCUGUAGAGCCAUGUCCCUACUGGCUCUUAACCCUGACAAUGCAGAAUUCAUUCUGGGAAGCCCAGGGAGUAAGAGUGUGUUUAGCGGGGCUUUCGCAGAGCAGUUAUAUUUGCUGAAUUAAAUGGGGGAAUUGCCUUCUGUGCCAUCGAAAGACACUGAGUUGGAUCUGCAGCAGUUACCUGAAGUGUAUGCUUAGUGAAGUCUAAAAAAAGGAAAAAAAAGUCAUGUAUUUAAGGAACAAGAAAUAAGACUUAUGGUUCAGAGGGAGGCAAAGUAUGAAAAUAUAUUUGGUAUGGUUUAAAUAUGUAAUGUUCCCCCCACACUCUCAUGGGCUUCACCUUGGUCCCCAGGUGGUGGUGCUGUUCGGGAAGGACAUGGACCUUUGGGGUUGACAUAGAGCAUCACUGUAGGGCCUGGUCUCUCGUCUAGCCCCAGAGACUCUGCGUCUUCAUCCACCAAGACGCCAUGAAUGCUGUCGUGCCUUCUCUACCAUGACCAGACCACUCCCUUACGUUGGAGGCCCAAAGAAGUCCUUCCUUCCUGAAGUUGCUUCUGGUCACAAGAACAGGCAGAGUGAGAACCAAAUGUGUUGUAGACAUUUCCAGAAUGGAAAAAAAAAUUUUACUGAGCACAUAUACAUCCCAGCACUCGAGAAACAUCUCUCAAGAGUCAAGUCUUACAGCAAUGCUGGGUUUAAUUCUGGGAUAUUCAGCUUCCUGAGAUCUGGGGCUCAGAAUUCAGGAUGAGUAAGGACAUGAACAGAUAACAGACUUUAGGAUGAGUAAGGACAUGAACAGGUUGGCAGGGCUCAACCUCUGACCCCACAAGAGCUCUUUUUUAUUUAUCUUUUAUUAUUAUCCCUAGUGACUAUCAGAAUUACCUGGGCACUUUAAUCACCAUCACCAUUAUCACCAUUAUCACCAUCACCACCAUCUAAAGAUAGAGAAGUCCAGGCCACACCCCAGACCUAAUACAUGAGAUCUAGAGCACGCCCAGAAGAUCGUUAAGAUUGAAAAGUUCCCAGGCAGUUCCAACUGAGUGCCAAGGCAUGAGUACCUGUCCCAUCCAGGAGCAGAGCUGCAUAAGAGGGACAUCAUGUGUGGAAGGUUCUUCAGUAAAAGGUAGAAGGCAUCUGGUCGAGGGUGGGUUGCCAGGUCUUCCAGGCAGACCCUCAGGAAGCGUGCAAACACCCUGUCAGGCCCAUCAUAGCAAAGGGAUGCUUUGAUGGCCUCCUCCCUCUGACUCUCUCACUGCCAGGUUCCAACCCAGUGCAGUAACCAUUUGCCAAGAGCCUACUUUACCCGGGAUCUGCUGCUUCUGGGCAUGGGGGUGGCUUGGGAGACCUAGUUUUGCCACCAUGCCCCCUGCAUAGGCUUCUGCACCCAUUCUCCCCGCCCCCAGCAAAGCUCUUCCUUGUCCAACACCCUGUGCCUGUCCCCUCUAAACCAAGAGGUGUCGCUUCUUUUGGACCUCACCCUUGCCCUGUUCCACUUCAUGCCUUCCUCAUCGUUUAUCCUCUGUUUUCUGUGGCUGAAAAUGGGCUUGAAUCACCAGUGAUCUCAAACAUGGUCCAGUCAUGCUGCAAGGGAGAAAAAAUAAGUGGUACCACGUUUAAACAGUUGUUUAGGCAUGUCAGCAAGGAAAGACACACUCUGCACACUUUAGGCAGGUUGACAUGGUCCCCAAGCCAACUGUGGUCUACUGUAUCUCUGUAAUGGAUGCCACCCUGUCACCACUGUCUCCCUUUCUUCUCUCACAGGCUUCCUUUAAGUACCACCUCUUCCAGAAAGCCUUCCCAAAUGGAUAGCCCAGGAUUCAAGCUUUUUUCUCUCAUAUAAAUAUGUGCCAGAGAAGACCGACUUCUGUUUGGAUAUCAAGUUGGUUGCUGGGAGCUGGUGACAGUGUUUUUGUUGCUGAUGCUGAGGAAUCGAGACCAAGGCCCUGGCGCACUCAGCCAUUGCUGGAGUUCAUUAGCCACAGAGAGACACUAAGUGGCUGUAAGGAUCAGGGCAGCUUGGCAGCCAUGUGACGGGCAGCCUUAUAAGUCCCAGGUACCAGUGUCGUUUAUACGACGUCAAGUGUGCUUUAAGCUGCACACUCCCAGGACUCAUUAGAACUGUGUGCCCAGUGGUGCCCCUCAACACCUCGGAGCAAAUAGAGAAUGAUAUAAUUCUCUCUGAGAACACCUCUCUGUCUUAUCUGCAGCAUGUCUUAUCUAUUAUGAUUAGGGCAUUAAGCUCCCAUCGGCCUUAACAUUUCAUGAGAUUCUACCCCACUGCUUGCCGGGAUUAUGUCAAGGUGUCUUGUCCUGGAUACCGUUUUCACCCAAUAAUACAGCUUGUCUCUUCUCCUUAGGCAGAGUUGGGCCACCAGCGAGGCCCAGCAAUCCAGCUUAAGGUGAGUGAGCACUUGGAAGGCUGCCCUAAACCCUCUUCCUAUAAGGCCCGUGUCUUGGUCUUGUUUCCCCCAAAAGAAAGGUUUGGGAAGCCAGAACUAAAGAUUUCCUUGCAAACAGCAUGGUUGAGAAAUGUUGAUAGAGAGCUGUCUCCAGGAAGGGAGAAAGGAAAGAGGGAAAAAAGGGGGGUGGGGGGGGGGCUUACAAUGCAGAGGAGACAGAAAUCAGGGUCUUGGAGAAGAACUGGAUGAACUGGGAGGCAGUAUGGACCACAACUUUCCCGUAGUCCCUCUGGAGGACAGGAGUGCUGGGGUGUUUAUCAACCCAGUUGUCCAGCUGUGAUGUAGCACUGUUCCAGGUUCACCUUCCACGGGGGUACCAGCCCCGUGGUAGUUAUGCUGAUACCUAAGACAUGAUGGCAUCAUCUGUAGAGGAAUGUCUCCGCCUGUGAUCCUCAAGAGGGCUGUGACAGAAUGGAGGCCAGUGACUAGAGCAAUCCUACCUGUCAGCCUUAGGCCAGGCACGUGGUGAGCCUUCAGUAAACAUCUGACAGUCACCUGCCUGGUCAAACUUCUGCCAUACCUAUGCUGGCUACAAUCUUGUUCAGAGUUGGCCUUUAUAAUAAAGUACUUAUCCCCUGCUUCUAAGUACAUUCUUGUAUCUAGUUGGCCUCUUUUCUGCCCUCACACUUGCCCACUCUGAGACCUCCCUCCUCUCUGCAUCUGCACCCACGUGACCGUGGAACAGAGCUCUUUAGGACUGUGACUUCCGCUUUGGAAGAAAAUAAGGCAUGCACCCUGACACUUAUAUGGAAGUCCUUAAGCAUGGGGAUGGGUGAGGAAUGUCCAAAAUUAGUACUGCCCCCACAUAUCCCAGGACACGGGAUCACUGGGAGUUCAGAUUUAAACACACUUGGCUACUUAUACUUGGGCAUUGUUGUUUAAAGUGGGGGAAGGGAGUGAUUAGAAUCGUCCUGUGUGAAAUGUGAUAAUUAUACCAUUGGGUUGUUAAGAGAUUAGGGAGGAUCCUGGGAGCAAAUGUAGACUGCUGGUACAGCGGAAGCAAUCCUGCAUCCUGCGCCUUUUGAUCGACUUGCAGGGAAUCUCUUGAUUUUAGCUUGAAACCCGGGGCUUCCUGUAUGCUAGGCAAGCCCUUUCCCACAGAAGGCUCUCUCUGCACUUGUUGAUAGUUCCUUGUUGGUAGAGUACCUGGCUUAUCUACAUGAGGUCCACUCUACCAUACUGGGAGAUAAACUCACUUCAGCUACAUCUUCAGUCUGCAAAGUUAAAUCCCAGAAGGUGAGAGGCUCAUGAGGACUGGCCCUGGCGAUGGAGUGUGCCAAUUCAGGCACCAGAGGAGGACUGUCCUGGGGGCUCCAUCCGUCUGUCCAUCCAGAAAGCAUUCUCAGUAUCCAGUACUGUUUGUCAGGCCGAGUCACCUGCUGAGGACACAGCAUGUCACAGGAACCUGCCUGGCCUUUGAGGAACCUGACAACCAGAUGCAGGACAGGACAGUGAUAGGAGUGACCUCAUAACCAUGGCGACAGUUAUGAGUGACAUUUAUUAAGCACAUGGCAAUAAGUACAGUUUCCAUUGCUUAAGCAUAAACAUAUAAUCAGCUUUAGAGAGGAUUUGACCAGGCUCAGUGCUACUGUGGUCUCCAUUUCCUCCUCUGAAGGAAACCGAGUCAUGGAAAGAUUGGACGACAUAGCCAAGUUCACAGAGAUAACAAAUGUUGAAGCCUGAGUUUCCAGGGCUGGGGUGUAUCUCAGUGGACAGAAUGCUGGGCUACCAUGUGAGAAGCCCUGGCUUUGAUCCCUAGCACUAUAUAAACCAGGUAGAGUGGCACAGGCUUGGAAUCCCAGCACUACAGAGGUGCAGGCAGGAAGAUUACAGGUCUCCUGGGCUAGGAGUUUAAGGCUAGCCUAAUCUACUUAAGACCUUGUCUUAAAACAAACAAACAAACAAAGAAAGAAAAACAACAAAAACAAAAACGAAUCAGAAGCAGCCUGGAUUCAAACUCUCCUGGUGUGUGAGCCCGUGACCUCAAGCAUGACAAAUCCGUGGUAAUGUCAUGUCCCCCACAGGUCCUUUGUCGCCCGAUGCUCUGCUUAUGUUCAACGCCUCAUUCUCUCCUAGGCCUUUGAAGAGACUCCUGGAACCAACCCCAGAGCUGCUGUUUGAUUUUGUGGACCUGGGUUGGGGGUCAGGGAACUGUGAGUUUCCAACCAGCCCCUUGGUGACACUCAAAGCUCUAGGCCAGGAGACUGCACUUGGUAGUUUGCAGUGAGGGCACAGAAGACUUUGGGUACCUGGGGGCCUUGCAGUCUCAUUACCUCACAGGCAGCACCUAGUGGGUGGAGACCGCAAGAGCUGUUGAGUAAGACACAGCAACCCCUGCCCCACAAGAGGUUGACCUGCUCACAUGCUGAGAGGCUGAUGAGAGGCUGAGGUGAGGAUGGCUGGCGGUGCUGAAUUCCGUCUGUAUAGCAGAGUAUGCAUGAACGCCAUCAGGCUCUGCUUUAAAAUGCUGCGUCGAGCUACCUGGUAGUUCAAGGAAUUAGGAGGAGCUACUCAGGAAGCUGAGGCAGGGGCAUUAGGAGUUCAAGGCUAGCCUGUAAAACGGAGUGAGACUAUGUCUCAAAAUAAAAGGUGCAAGACAGCUGGGGGUCCUGAUCAGUGACAGUCACAUGACAAACACAUUGGGGUCCUGGGUUCAAUCCCCAGUAUAGCAUUAAUAUAAUGAAAUAUAAAAUGGCUUGGGUGUAAGAAGGGCCAGAACCUGUCUGAAUGGCUGCACCUCUAACAAACUCUGAGAGUGGCUUUUGGCAGAGCUGGGGACCACACCUUGGCUACCAAAAGUGAGAGUUCGGCCCCGCAUAGGUGGAGGGUUUGAAAUAAGUUCACUGAGGACGCGACGGAGCACCAUCGGCAGUUUAGCAGCGCUGCUCGCUCUAGCAUUAAGUAUCGCAGCCCAGGCAAUCUUCUUUCAACUCCCGGUGCCUGCCUCUCCCUAACAGCUGCAGUGAACGGUCGAGGCUGAGGAAGGGCAGAGCUUGGGUAGAACUGCCCCAGCUUCAGUCCUUAAGCAUCGGGCUGGCCUAUUGUUGCCUGUCCUCAUGGCUUCCUCCCAAGAGCUGCUCCUUGACACGGGUUUUACAUCUGCCUGACGUGUAGGUCUGCAAACUCUAAAUGAGAGAGCGGCUGCUUUGAAAACCGUUGCUCUCUUGGGAACAGGCGAUGGGAGAAGAUGGACUCUGUGCGCUCGGCCCUCCAGAGAUGGCACCCAGCCCCUGUGAUAAAUGACGGCAUUAACAAGGUUUGGUUGAGAGGGGACCUACAGAUUUACGACUUCCUGUGUCGGCCAGCAGAUGUCAUUAUGGCUGACAGAACAGGAGCCCUUUCAAGAGCUAGCCCUGGUGGAGCUAAGGGGAGGGGAAAAAAUUCCAAAAGGCGGAAGCUUAAACUACUGUUCACUCAGGGGGGCUGGUGUCAUUUGGGGGACACAGAAUUGCAACGGGAAAUCGGAAAGCCUGCAAAAUGUCUGAAGCCGUGUUGCUGAGGUUUAGGCACAAACCCUCAAAUAAAAGAUGGCGUGGCUGGCUUUUCUCAACUAAGAAACCCUUUCGAGUUCUGUCACCAGCCCUGCACUUGUAUGCCCAAAUGUUCUCUGAGAUAAAAAAAUGAGCCCUGCGCUGAACAAACAGAUAUUUCACUCUGAAACAUCAAUUGGACAAGCCUUUAAAUAUGAGCACUUUACGAAUUCAGCAGCCCUUUCCGAACAAACUUUAAUGUGCUUAUAAUUUUAUCCACUUUAUUUUUAGCAUAAUUCUUUAUCGAUUCUUUGUGAAUCGCAUAGAUGCACCCAAUCCCAUUCAUCCCCCAGCCCUUUCAUAUCUGACCACCACCCUUGUAGCCCCUCCCAACAAAAACUGAAAAUUAAUACAAUACAAAACAAAACAAAAUGUCACAGUGGAAGCUGAGGUGUGUCACAAUGUGUCACACAGUGUACCCUUUUGUCCUAGCAGCCUUUCUUCCAAAUGUUUAUUGCAAUGAGUCAUUGGUCUGGUCGAGGCCUCUGGCUUCUGCCACACUAUCAAUCCUGGAUCCUCACCAGGACACCUCUUGGAUAUCUUGUUGUCGCCCUGUGUCAUGGAGGUCCUGCAGCUUCAGCUCUGCAGGACGGGCCCGUUCACGCGUGGCUCGAGGCUGAGGGUUGUCCCCUAACUUUCCUCAUUUUAAACAAUGGUUUCAUAGGAUGAUACUGGUUCUUUACUUGCCAGAAUUCUUGUGUGUUUAGAAUUAAAAGAUGAUACAAAUAUGGCACUCAUCGUAGGCCUCAAGCCUGUGUUGGGAAGGGUCCACUGCUAAUGCACGCUUAGGUGUAAGUGCACAGCCUGUCUCCAAAUUCCUUUCUAAUGUGUGGCCUAAGAUCCACUUUCCAUAGGUACAGCCCCUGCUUGCAGUUCGCUCUCUUGGCCAAAAAACAAUUGAGUGUUUGAGAUCCUUUAGGCUCAGGUUAUCUGUGAUCCAAGACACAGCUCAGAAGAGAUGUCCAUGACUCCAGGGACUGGGCUCUCUGGUCCUGCCAUCAACAAUUCACCCCUCUUCCCACCUCCGUGACUACUGGGGGCUUCGUAUAAAUUAAAAGCCAUGGCAGACUUCCAGGAAGACAGCAAGAGGGUCCUUUUUGCUACCGGUUUCUCAAAGUCCAAAAAAUUAUUUCAAUCCAAUACUGGGCCUAGAAACUUUUUCCAGAGAUUAAGCAAUGGCUAUUAUGUUGAUUUGUGUGUUCUGGUGAACAUCUGAUUUCACUGAGUUUGUUUUAAAUGCUUUUCCUAAAAUCUUGCUGCUGGGAUUAAAUCCAGGGCCUCAUAUGUGUUGGGCAAGCGUGUUACCUCUGGUCUCCUUGCCCAGACUUCAGUGAGAUGUGUAAAGUGUAGCCGAGGUGUGCAGGUGUCACCUCAUGACACCCUUCCCCGACCACUUGAGUAGCAGCAUAGCGGGGUGCUUAUGAGCUGGCUGGAGAUAGUCACCCUAACUUCUGUGCCUGCUUCUUCCUUGCCUGCCUGUGUUUCCCCCAGAAAGGUCCCAGAGCUCUCCAAUGGACCCCUGGUGGAUGUCACCGUCUUCAUGGUUUUUAUCUGUAUAUCAAAUGCUUUGUCUGUGAAGUGACUAGUUGGGGGUCUCAGCACAGGAAUCAGUCCUUAAACCUUGCUACAGUUUGAAUGAACGCCUUGAAAUAUCUUCUGUACCAUCUCACAGAUAAGUAUGCUAGCUUUGUGUCUGAUUCACUGUUCACUUAGCAAAGAAAUACAACAACCAUGACGAUAAUAGUAAUAAUGGGAUCUGCCAUAUACUGAACUCAUACAAAGUUCUAGACACUGCAGAAGGACUGACACGCAAAAACUUACUAAAUAUUUUCUGUACUAAGUUUUGAACCCAGGGCCCCAAACAUGCCAGGCAAGAGUCCUACCUCGGGUCUCCUGCCCCCCCCCCUACUGUUAAUUUUAUGUUGAUGCAGGUCUCUUUAAGCUACCCAGCCUGCUCUUAAACUUAGCAUAGGGAGAUCUAAAAUUUAGGCUCCUCUGACCUUAGUCUCUGGAGCAGCUGGGACUUGCACCGUGUUGCAGCAAAUUCAAAUACGACGUGACUUGACUGGCAAAGUGCUCUGGGUCCUACUUGGUCAGAGUCGCUCAGCAUAGGUGCACAGCAGAAUCGCCCAGGUGUCCCAUUGAAAUGCACUGACUCCCCUUUCCAAUCUCUGACUCUAAAGUUCUGGGCUGAGACCUUCACAUUAACAAGUUCCCAGGUGCUGCUUUGGAUCUAAGGCCACCUUUGAGAGCCACCAAUGUCAGCCACUUGUUUAAGAUGAGAAGGCCUCAAGGUGGAUCUUUAAAAGUAAAACUUUGAAUGUAUUUAGGGGCCGAGGCAAUGGCUCAGUGGCUAAAGUGACUUUCAAGCAUGAAGACUUGAGCUCAGAGCACCGAUGUCAAGGGCAGUGGUCAUGGUCUGGUUGAUAGUGGUAGCAUCUGUGGUCAUGGUAGUAGCUGUGAUCAUGGUAGCAGGUAUGGUCAUGGUAGCAGGUGUGGUCAUGGUAGCAGGUGUGGUCAUGGUAGCAGGUAUGGUCAUGGUAGCAGGUGUGGUCAUGGUAGCAGGUGUGGUCAUGGUAGCAGGUAUGGUCAUGGUAGCAGGUGUGGUCAUGGUAGCAGGUAUGGUCAUGGUAGCAGGUGUGGUCAUGGUAGCAGGUAUGGUCAUGGUAGCAGGUGUGGUCAUGGUAGCAGGUAUGGUCAUGGUAGCAGGUGUGGUCAUGGUAGCAGGUGUGGUCAUGGUAGCAGGUGUGGUCAUGGUAGCAGGUGUGGUCAUGGUAGCAGGUAUGGUCAUGGUAGCAGGUGUGGUCAUGGUAGCAGGUGUGGUCAUGGUAGCAGGUAUGGUCAUGGUAGCAGGUGUGGUCGUGGUAGCAGGUGUGGUCAUGGUAGCAGGUGUGGUCGUGGUAGCAGGUGUGGUCAUGGUAGCAGGUGUGGUCAUGGUAGCAGGUAUGGUCGUGGUAGCAGGUGUGGUCGUGGUAGCAGGUGUGGUCAUGGUAGCAGGUGUGGUCAUGGUAGCAGGUAUGGUCGUGGUAGCAGGUGUGGUCGUGGUAGCAGGUGUGGUCAUGGUAGCAGGUAUGGUCAUGGUAGCAGGUGUGGUCGUGGUAGCAGGUGUGGUCAUGGUAGCAGGUGUGGUCGUGGUAGCAGGUGUGGUCAUGGUAGCAGGUGUGGUCAUGGUAGCAGGUAUGGUCGUGGUAGCAGGUGUGGUCGUGGUAGCAGGUGUGGUCAUGGUAGCAGGUAUGGUCAUGGUAGCAGGUAUGGUCAUGGUAGCAGGUGUGGUCAUGGUAGCAGGUAUGGUUGUGGUAGCAGGUGUGGUCGUGGUAGCAGGUGUGGUCAUGGUAGCAGGUAUGGUCGUGGUAGCAGGUGUGGUCGUGGUAGCAGGUGUGGUCAUGGUAGCAGGUGUGGUCAUGGUAACAGGUGUCUGUAGCCCCAGGAACAGGGAAGCAGAGAUGUGGGGGUUCCUUAGACUCACUGGCCAGCUUAUCUAGCCAAAUCUGUGAGUUUCAGGCUCAGUGAGUCACCCUGUCUCAAAAAUUAAACGAAACAGAGAGACCUACCUCUGGCUACACAUGUAGGCAUACAUGGUUAUGUAUGUGUACCUAUACACACUUGUGUGCACACACACCAAAAAUUUAAAUAUAUUUAAAAACACAUGCUGUAAACAAAUGCUUACGCUUCUUCAAAUGUCUCAACAGUAAGCACGAAAAGUUGGUUGUUGUACUCACAACACACGCCAUUGGGGAAGUUCCUUGUUUGCGUUAGAUAUCCUGCUAACUGAUGGUCCCUGUGGCACCAGCCAGCUCAGGGACAUUUUUGGAAGAAGCACAAAGUCCUUAAGUCAUCUAUAUCCUGGUCACUGAUGAGAAGUCAGAAGUGCUAGUGUGGUAUGGAAGGAAAACUAGGGCCUGAUUUUCCUAGCUGGAGGGCACAUGGGUUCCAAGAUGGCGUCCAACUGAGCAAGCCACACCUGGAUGUCACAUGUGCUGGAGAGGCACGGGGUUUCCUUGGUUCCCAACCAGGGAAGAUUCUCAGCAUAUGAGCCCACAGGCAUAGAAGGUUCCAGAGAACUUCCGUUGGAUGCUGCCCACAAAAGUCAUUGGCAACUAAUGGAUGCUAAGAAUCACUGCUGCAAGCUACUGUUUAGACUAGAACCCGGAUAUGUUUUGACCCACCUCGGAGUGUUUGGGCAGAGGAGGAUCUGCGACAUGGCCCUGAGGAGAUGAGAAUGAAGGAAAGGGGCUCAGGGAGAGCCAGGACAGAGCCCACACUUCCAUGGUAGGAAGAGUAAUCCAGCACAGGGUCGUCAUCGAGGUAGAAAUUAAACAACCUGGCACCUAAAUAUCCAUGCAGCCUGAAUUCAGGGAAUGUAAACACAGAAAGACUUGGAAAAAUAAGGAAAACAGGCCAUCCGUGGUCACAGGCAGACAGGGGCAGGUGACUGGGAACCUGCCAUGAUGGACAGACAGGGGAAGGAACACAGGCUGGAUAUGCCUGAGAGUCCAGUGCUACCUCAGCUCAUCUUUGUAAGGAUGUGUUUAUUUGCAUAUCCACCCACGUUCUUAUUGAUUCAACGUGGUUUUUAGUUGAGUGCAUAUAUGAGUCAGGUGUCACCCUAGAUGCUGGGAGUCACAGCAAGGCUCCAACCUCUGUCCUCAGAGAGCAUUCUCUUUAUCGAGUGUGGCGAUAUGUAGAAUAAAACCUGUAAUAUUUUGGGAUACAAGAUACGUAAGAGAGAAAAAAGGAAGGCUGGAAGUAGAUUUGGGUUUUCAGAGGGAAGGGUUGAGAAGUGGUUCUCCUCAAUUCUCCUAGAGAGACUCUAAGGAACAGGCAACCUCUGGCUCAAAGGAAAGGAGAGGAUGUUAAAUUAGCUUAAGGAACAAAGGAACUACUUCGGCUAUGGAUCACUUCUUAAUGCAGGUGCUGAUAGCUUUGACGGCUUCCGCCACACCCCAGAAUUUACUCCAAUUGGUCUUUCCUGACAAACUCAAGAGUUUCACGGGGGCACUGUGAUGUGCUUUCCCAAUUUUCAGCUUGAUGAAAUCUAUUAACGACUUGAGAGAAGAGCCACUGGACCUGCCUGUGAGGGAUUAUCUUAAUUGAGAUGGGAAGACCCACCCUUAUAGACGGCAGCAAUCCCUGGGCUUGGGGUCUGCACUGUGCAAAAAGCAGAAAGUAAGAGGAACACAGCCUGCUUCUCCCUCUGCUUCCUGGUUGCAGCUGCAAAGUGACCAGCUCCUUCCAGAGCCUGUCAUCAUGUCCCAGCAUGAUAGACUGGUUCACCCUGGAACUGAAUCAAAGAAAUUAAGUGGCAUUUGACUGGGCAACUCAUAGCAGCGACAGAAAUGCAGCAAAGACGUGGUGGCCCACGCCUUUAAUCCCAGCACUUUGGAGGCAGA
This is a long non-coding RNA of Mus musculus (house mouse), 13411 nucleotides long. RefSeq annotates it as predicted gene, 34294. Lineage: Eukaryota; Metazoa; Chordata; Mammalia; Rodentia; Muridae. The transcript is spliced from 2 exons. The record is from RefSeq and is a predicted model, not a curated record.